GUGCAGACGAGGAAUGCAGUGUGCUCCUGUGCCGGGGCAAAGCUUUCAGCGAUUUCACCGGACCAGACUGUCGGUUUCUGUCAUUUAAAAAAGGAGAGACUAUAUAUGUCUACUAUAAACUCUCAGGCCAAAGGACAAAUAUAUGUGCAGGGAGUGACCAACUCGUAAUCAAUCACAUAUACACUGAAAAAGAAUUGGAGAUUCCUGCUGAGGAAACCGACAUUGUUUGCUUUGACACUGGACACGAUAAGUUUGACAGUUACUGUCACAAUUCCAGUGGUGGAAACAAGAGUCAGGUGCAGAGAGCAGGAAUCUCUUUCAAAAAGUGGAAUUUUAUUUCCUUAACGUAAUCACCUAACAACCGGUGACGCCACACUAAACACUGGGCGCGUAAAGAGAAAUGUCCAAAGUCAAUUGAAUAACAAAAUCCACAAAAUACACACCACAAACACGAAACAGAAAAAACAAGCCCGCACAAAAGGGAGCGGGCAAACUGGGUUUAAAUAACCCCUAAUCUAAACACACAACAGGUGAAACAAAUUAGACAAACUAAAAGGAAAACAGAAAAGGGGAUCGGUGGCAGCUAGUAGACCGGAGACGACGACCGCCGAGCGCCGCCCGAACGGGAAGAGGCACCAUCCUCGGCGGGACUCGUA
Long non-coding RNA from Salvelinus fontinalis (brook trout), 656 nucleotides. RefSeq lists it as uncharacterized. The record is from RefSeq and is a predicted model, not a curated record. Lineage: Eukaryota; Metazoa; Chordata; Actinopteri; Salmoniformes; Salmonidae. The transcript is spliced from 4 exons.